RNAcentral lists this non-coding RNA (28 nucleotides) under Mus musculus (house mouse). The record is from RNAcentral. Lineage: Eukaryota; Metazoa; Chordata; Mammalia; Rodentia; Muridae. RNAcentral also lists the same sequence under 1 other name.
UUGGAUGGCAAAUGGAAGAAACGUCUGA